Ciona savignyi (Pacific transparent sea squirt) is the source of this 73-nucleotide non-coding RNA. The record is from Rfam. NCBI's taxonomy places the organism in Eukaryota, Metazoa, Chordata, Ascidiacea, Phlebobranchia, Cionidae.
GACCGCAUGGCCCAAUGGAUAUGGCGUCUGGCUUCGAAUCAGAAGAUUGAGGGUUCGAGUCCCUCUGUGGUCU